GACGAACGCUGGCGGCGUGCUUAACACAUGCAAGUCGAACGGAAAGGCCCUGCUGUUGUGGGGUGCUCGAGUGGCGAACGGGUGAGUAACACGUGAGUAACCUGCCCUUGACUUUGGGAUAACUUCAGGAAACUGGGGCUAAUACCGGAUAGGAGCUCCUGCUGCAUGGUGGGGGUUGGAAAGUUUCGGCGGUUGGGGAUGGACUCGCGGCUUAUCAGCUUGUUGGUGGGGUAGUGGCUUACCAAGGCUUUGACGGGUAGCCGGCCUGAGAGGGUGACCGGCCACAUUGGGACUGAGAUACGGCCCAGACUCCUACGGGAGGCAGCAGUGGGGAAUAUUGCACAAUGGGCGGAAGCCUGAUGCAGCAACGCCGCGUGCGGGAUGACGGCCUUCGGGUUGUAAACCGCUUUCGCCUGUGACGAGGCGUGAGUGACGGUAAUGGGUAAAGAAGCACCGGCUAACUACGUG
RNAcentral lists this ribosomal RNA (468 nucleotides) under uncultured bacterium. RNAcentral describes it as "partial 16S ribosomal RNA". It matches the Rfam family "Bacterial small subunit ribosomal RNA", at positions 28 to 507 of the family's 1533-position model. The record is from RNAcentral.